RNAcentral lists this microRNA precursor (71 nucleotides) under Triops cancriformis. Its description in RNAcentral is "microRNA tcf-mir-10349 precursor". The record is from miRBase by way of RNAcentral. Lineage: Eukaryota; Metazoa; Arthropoda; Branchiopoda; Notostraca; Triopsidae.
UGAGCACCAAUAAGCACACGGACUCCAGAUUUCGCAUUGUAGCGCUUGCCGUGGCUUCGUUGGGACCAUCC